AUUGAACGCUGGCGGCAGGCCUAACACAUGCAAGUCGAACGAGUGGCGGACGGGUGAGUAAUGUCUGGGAAACUGCCCGAUGGAGGGGGAUAACUACUGGAAACGGUAGCUAAUACCGCAUACCUUCGGAAUUGCCCAGAUGGGAUUAGCUAGUAGGGGGGGUAAAGGCCCACCUAGGCGACGAUCCCUAGCUGGUCUGAGAGGAUGACCAGCCACACUGGAACUGAGACACGGUCCAGACUCCUACGGGAGGCAGCAGUGGGGAAUAUUGCACAAUGGGCGCAAGCCUGAUACAGCCAUGCCGCGUGUAUGAAGAAGGCCUUCGGAUUGUAAAGUACUUUCAGCGAGGAGGCGUUACUCGCAGAAGAAGCACCGGCUAACUCCGUGCCAGCCGCCGCGGUAAUAC
RNAcentral lists this ribosomal RNA (406 nucleotides) under uncultured bacterium. RNAcentral's name for it is "partial 16S ribosomal RNA". It matches the Rfam family "Bacterial small subunit ribosomal RNA", at positions 30 to 526 of the family's 1533-position model. The record is from RNAcentral.